RNAcentral lists this unclassified non-coding RNA (6593 nucleotides) under Centruroides sculpturatus (bark scorpion). RNAcentral's name for it is "thiamine-triphosphatase-like, transcript variant X9". Lineage: Eukaryota; Metazoa; Arthropoda; Arachnida; Scorpiones; Buthidae. The record is from RNAcentral.
AGUUAAUCCAUAACAAAAUGACAAAUGAGUCUGAGUGAGAAGACAAAAGUAAUAUUUCAAGUAUGCUUGACUACGAAUGUGGUCGUUCAGCGUAUGCGUGAGUAGAAAACAAGAUCUUCAUCCAUAUCACCCAUGGAAAAUCAUCAUGAUCCAGAUUGAAUUCAAAUUCGGACUCUUUAUGACAGCGUGAUAUAGUGCCUUAUCUAUCCAACCGAUUGAUAUCGUCGAAAGUCCUAAAUAAUCGUAUAGAUCACGCGUAUGGACAAAUGUAGCGCAAAAGCUUAAAAAUGAUCUAUUAUUCAUACGGAGGAAAAAGUGUUUCGUGGUUCAGCGAUAGCCGAAGGAAAAGUCGAAAAUUAUUUGAGGACGAGAAAAUCCUCCUUAUACGAUCUGCUUGUGAAGAAUGGAGUGUUAAAUCCCUGCUAAUUAUUUUACGGGUAUUUUUUUUUCAGUAUAACUUUUGUUUUAGAGAACGUGUUUUUUAAUUCUUGUAAACGUUUAUUGAAUUGUAAACAUUGUCAAUCGGGAACUUUAACCAAUGAAAGAAUAACGGCCUUUGUUAUUUGUUGUUCAUUUGCAUAGGUUGGUUAAAGUUGUAAGAUGUUACAAGAAGCUUAUUGGAUGACAUGGGUAGAAAGGAUUGUAUCAUUGGAUGGCGUCACAGUUCCUUAGUUUAGUUGCAUCCCAUUGGUUCGUUCUCAGUGUGCCAAUCGAUGCCUCCUUUUCUUGUUAUUUUGCUACUUCAAUAACAAGUUGUGGUUGUCAACAGUUAGGUGAAAAGGUUGGACGUUACGUUACCGAUAAUGUUGACAUUUUUCUCAAACGUUUAUUUUAUCGAAAAAAAAAAUACGCUACGAUAUUUAAAUCGAAACUCCCAAUAUUUGUAUUUAAUAUUUCAACGUAUAAAAAAAUUAAUUCUUUAGAAAGUAUUAAAGAAAAAAUCUUUCCGAUUUUAUCGAUCAUGGAGACGACGUAGAAAAUACUGAGCCCAUUAAGCAUCGUAUCAAGUUUCGUGCUAUAGUCUGUAACGCUAUUUUACAAAAAGAAAAAUAAGGAAUUGUAGCUUGAUGUAUUUUGAUACUCGGAAAAGGUUGGUUUAUUUUGCAGCAUGGGAUCUUAUCCAUCAAUUCCUUAACAUAUAUUUGUUUCAUGCAAAUCCUACGGUGUAGAUUUUAAAAAUCCCAAGCGACUUUAAAUAACCACAGUAUUUGACGUUAUUUGAGUCAUGUCUCUUCAUCAAUAGUCCUGAGCCAAGUUGCUUCUGGUCCCCAUUCCCCAAACCAAGCAUUACUUCUGUUAUAGACGAAUGGAUAGUGGGCAUUUUUCGCGGUGUUAGAGAAUAUAAAAGCCCUCUGUGCCCAAUCCGUCUUGUUUUACUAUGCUCGAGUAUGAGAGGCUUUUUUUUUAAACUAAAACAAAGAGGCAUUGCUUUCCUAACUGAUUCCGAUUCAAAUUGACUAAUUGUAAGCGGGAAAAAUCCGUUCGGUUCGAUACGAAGCGGUUAAUGUCGAUUAUUAUUUUAAAGAACUGGAGAAAAUUAUGCACUUUAUAAAAGCAAAAUCUUGUCACACACUGGCAACUGACGGGAAAUUAGAAAACCGGUCGAAAGACCUAGCUUUAUUGAUUGAUUGAUUAGCUGUAAGCGGUCGACUAUAAACGUGUAGACAAGCCAUUAGCCGGACAACCAACUCCCCCAUCAAAAACAAUGGACAGAUAAACCCUAAGUGGCCAUCCUUUCACCGCCUCCUAUAGCAGCCUUCUCUUUUGUUGUUUUUUUCUUCUGUCUCCUCUUUCUUUCAAUCGAAACACACAAAGACAGCAGUAUGCAUCAAAAGCCAUUAAACACUACGACCAACUGUCUCCAAAGCCAAACAGUUAUAAAUCACCAACUCUCAAGUACUCUUACAGUUGGUCGGUUAGAAGAAAAUUAAUUUAUUUAAUGCCCGAAUGAGGCUUUUAGGUCUCCUGGGAGAGCAAAAUCGUACUCGAGGAUGAUUAAAAAAUUUAUAAAACCAAUACUUAAUUCCACGUUAAUUCUCCUCCCGCUUUUUAUCGAAGUAAUUAUCGGAUAUUUUUUUUCUAAUAUUGCUGGAGUGGCUUUUUUUUUUAUUUUUCACUUUUUUAGAUCCAAAGAUGCUUUAUAGAUUUAAAUUAUUACUAAAUUUUUAUGAUGAAGUUUUCGACUUAAAAUAUUUUAAUAUUAAUUUUUUAGUUAAAAUUUUUGAAUUUUUAAGAUGUUUUUCAAAUUAAAAUGAAGGGAAAAAAAAACAUAAUUAGAUGCGGCACAGUCUAUAUAAUGUAGCAGAUUUUAAUAGUCUAUAAGCGUGUGAUGAACGAGACUGGAAAGGUGUAGUGUACAGUACAUCUGUGUCCGGAUAGUAUGGCAAUAUGCUGAAAAGAGCCUUUUUCAUAAUUUCCGCACGAUUGAUUCACUGCAAAUUGCCGCAGAAGUCGUUAAUUGUCCGAGUCAUAAAAAAUUCUUUAAUUAUCUUCCUUCGUUUAUGAGCUUGUUUUUAUCGCGCUUCCGGUGACGUCAUAUCCGGAUGUCCAUUUUCUCCAUUCGCGAUAAUGGUCAAUAGAUAAAUUGGUCGCGACGGAGUUGACAGCAGUCUAUAGCCGGCAGUCCACAGACAGUUAUAAUAUACGCUUCGGUAAUUCUUUCGCUUGUAAGAAAGAACAUUGAUCCACAUCCUCAUUAAGAAGAAGCUUUUGAUAUUUCAAUUUAAUUCGCUAAAUUUGUUGGGGGUUUCGGUCGCAAAUUGCAGGUACCGCGCUUGUUUUAACUGGUGGAUAUGUUGAUAGUCUAUAUGCAACAGUUUUUUUUUUUCUUUUUAUUAUUGAAAGGAAACCAUAAGAGUUAGCAGUGUAUGGCAUUUGAUGGAUGAGGAUAUAUCUGCUAGACUUUUGGUACCAGAUGAAAGUUGAUGAGAGAUGAGGUUUAUGAUAGAAGGCAUCUAUUGUCUUUCAAAAGGCCGAUCUAUCAUACCUUAACUUGGCAAUUAAAUAGGCAGCGACGACUAUCCUUAACUCUUAAGCACAGAUUUUUUUCGAGUCUCUUUCACCCUGCCAAAGUUUUUAAUUUCUUUACAUAAUUAAUAAAUCUCUAUUCAAAGAGUAAUUCCGGCUUAGUGUUUUUUAACGAUUUAUGAUUUUUUUUCUAAUUUUCUCCGAAGCGACGAAAAAAUUUGAUUUUGAUAAAUCUUCGUCGCUCUCCCGAGAUAAUUUUUAAUAGUUAACGUAGUUUGAACCGAUUUGAGAGUUUUAGAGAGCAUUCAUUACUUUUUCUCGAACGUAUUGCCGAGAAGUUAAAUUUAAUUAGAAUUACCUGGUUGAUAGCUUUUGUUUGCUUUUUAAAUAUUCAAAGAGUCUGGUUAAAAAAUUUAAAUUCUUAUCUCAAACUAUUAAAAUUUCAUUAGCAGAUGAUUCGCUUCACUUUCAACCACGAGAAAUUCUAUUUUCCGAACUUUAAGCAGAAUUUACAUUUUGUUUUUAUGAAUUGAAACUAAUAAUAAAUGGAGCGAGUUCCAGUAAAGAUGGAUAGAGAUGCUUUUAUCGUUGCUUUUAUCAUAUUUUUCGAUUGAUCGUUCGCUUUAAAUCGAUAUAUUACGAUCGUAAUAUUUCGCAAUUAAUAUUAAUUUCAUCGAAAUAUAAAAAGUCUCAUAUUUAAAUAGCUAUAAAAGUAGCAUUAUCAGUUUAUAUCUGAUACACGCAUAGGCCACAUGUCUAUGUAUUGACCGAUUAUUUUCUAGGUUAUUGAGGAAAUCCAUAUUAUUGAACUAAAUGAUAAAUUCAAACAGUCUGAAUUAUUUAAAUCUUAUAUUUUUUUCAUUAAUUUUUUCGAUAAAGAAUAAUUUAUCGAAACUUUCAGUUUGUUGCUAUUUUAUAGAUAUAUUUUUGUCUAGAAUUUUAUAUGUUUUAGCUGUAGUAUUAGGGAGAAAAAAGAUGCGAGGAGGAUGUGUUCCAGGAUCGUUUCAUUAAAUUAGUUGUAUUGUAAAUUGGUCGGCUUUUCAAGAUAGACAAAUAGCGUCGUUACGUUGUACGGUAACAAUAUGGUUCAUUUACAGUCUAAUGGAGGCUUCUUAGAAAAAAUUAUUUUAAAAUAUUUUUUUAUAUCUUGAAUGCAACUUUAAAUAUCACAUAAAUCGAAAUUAAAUUACAUAAUUGGAUUAAUAAAUUGACCUUAAUUAGUCAUUCGAAACGAUUGUUUUUUAUUUUUCUUUCUUCUCGCCAUCAAUGGAAAAGGUUUUUCUAUCUCUUAACAUUUGAGUCACGGACCAUCCACACUUGCUUCAAGUGGUUGACAACAGAAGGACUUGUUCUCUGCUAGUGACACGUGAUCACCUAACAGCACUUCUGCCAAUCUGAUUGAGAUGGUUAGAUCAAAGAGAUCGCUGAAAAGAUAAUUUUCCAAAUGACGAAAUGCAUAUUUUUGCCCGUAGUUAAUUACUAGAAUUUAAUACAAAAUGCAUUAAUAAAGAGUAAUUUACUACGAUGGAAUCGAUUUAAAUCUGCCUAAUUGUUUUUUUUUUGUUAUUUAAAAUUUAAAUACAAUGUUUCUACAUAAACGAUUUUGCAUUUUAACAGAUAUGUAUUUCCGUCGCUAAACGUGGUUCGUAUGACGAAACAAAAAGAUGGAAGAAUAAAAAGAGUAAUACGUUUAACCCGAACAUCUGUUAACAUAAUCUUUCUUGCACCAUUGACAUAAAAUUUACAUAUUUUACCAAUUUUCCGAAUAUAUCCCUUUAAUAUUGCAUCUUGAAUAAAGUAUAUUUGUAGCUAAAAAAGACAAGAGAGCGUGUAACCGAGAUUGGUUACAAACUUAAAUAUUAGAAUUCGACUUAGUUUUUUUUAUUCGUCUAAUGAUUUGUUGAUGUUGGUUACCGAUCCUAUUUAAACAUUUACAGUAUUGGCAGGAAAGACAGGACACGUGUUCUUUGUUGUCGUCACGUGACUGAUGUCCGGUUUAGCGGGUUGCCAUGGUAUCAAGGCGUCAUUUCCUACAUCUUUAGCCCGACGCGAAACGUGACAUCACUUCCAGGACAUUUGGACCGGUAGUCACGUGAAAUUACAGGGCCCCUGUAAAUGUGUUUUCGCCUUUAGACAUUCGUGUCUUGCUAAAAUGAUCGACUAAUGCAAACCCAUUAUUGAAAAUUUUAAUAUAUUUGGGAAUUACUUUUCGACUAUAAAUUUGCAGUUUCGGAAUAACUUAAUAGUGUUUCCAAAAUAUCUUCUUUUUAGUGAAAAAGUUGCAUUUGUAAUUCGAGAGAGUAGUACUUUCAUUGAUGGCAGUUACCAAAGCAUCAGUUCUCUGAACUUUUGUCUUCUUUCGAUCGACUUAACUUUUGGCUGAUGAAUGGAACCUGUCGAGAUUGAUGGUUCUUUACCUGGAUCCACAUGGAUUCACAAUCUUCAAUUCUACACUUUUUAUUCGAAAUGUCUCGUUUAAAAUGACUUUUAUUUUGCCACUUCUUAGUUUUAAUCACGGAGAACGAAACUCCGAGAACAAUUACUUUUCUAGAUUAAUUUAUUGAAUGAAUUUUAUUUUCAGGUGUUUUUUAAAGGACGAAUCUCUCUCUCUCGAGUUUGCAUUGAAAACUAAUAACGACGAGAGUUUUGAUGUAAAUUGUAAAAUGCAAAGGGGGGAAAAACAUAUAAUUUAGUCUGAUAAUCAUUAUAAUAAAGAACAAUCAAUAAACCUUCAUAAUAUUUAUGAGCCCAUUCCCGAUUUCAAUUUUUGUAUCUUUUCUUGCAUGAAAAUUAUAGUUAAGUCAGCAGCUUGGGAGAUGGUGGAUUUAUCGAAGAUGAUGAUGCACGAUUUUCAUAUUUUUUUCUUAAUAGUAAACGAUUUUUCAGCGUUCGAUAUCGGAAUCAUUUCUAAUAAUCAUAUAAAAAUUCUUCUAUUGUAAUAUACAAGCGAAAGAAUAGGUUAUUUUUCGCUUCCAAACGGAACAGUUUUGUCAUUCAAUAACAGCUGGUGCAAGUUACAACCAUAAUUACUUCUUCCAAUAUUAGUGUGUCGAUUGAGAUGCUUCGGUCUCUUGACCACAUCGCCGUCCAUUCUGAAGAAUAAAACUUCACGGAACUAGUUUCUAUAGCAACGACUUUAUCUCAUUACGUUAGUGUGCAAGAAGUGCUUACUAUUAUACACUAUUUAAAAAAAAAAAAAUACGAUUCCCGUCCACUCUAGUAGAACAACGAAUGGAAUUUUCUGUACCGUGUAAGCUCAAUGAUCUAUCUACCUUCUCCCCAUUCUUGUGUGGAAAUGCCAUUUAUAUAUAUCUACGUCUACUCUUACUGUUCUUGUAAAGCGGGGAUUUUUCAAAACGUAUGCUAAAUCUCCUUUUUCAUCUUUCGACGGUUUUUCCGUAAUUUUUUCACUCUAAAUUAUAGUUCAGGCUUAGAGAGAGGUUUUCCUCCCCCUCCUUCCUGCGCGUACCGUCAGAGAUAAAGGGAAAAAAAACCUCCAAGCUCUGCUGGCUCUUACCUGUUCCCUCAGCUGCUUUAAUAUCGAUUUUUUAAAACUCGCUCUCCUCUCCUUCACUAUAGCACGAGCACGUUUAUCGACUAAAAAAAAAAUAGAAUACAAAAAAAAA